UGGGGAAUAUUGCACAAUGGGGGAAACCCUGAUGCAGCGACGCCGCGUGAGCGAAGAAGUAUUUCGGUAUGUAAAGCUCUAUCAGCAGGGAAGAAGAAUGACAGUACCUGACUAAGAAGCCCCGGCUAACUACGUGCCAGCAGCCGCGGUAAUACGUAGGGGGCAAGCGUUAUCCGGAUUUACUGGGUGUAAAGGGAGCGUAGACGGAACGGCAAGUUUGAAGUGAAAUACCCGGGCUUAACCCGGGAACUGCUUUGAAAAACUGUCGAUCUAGAGUGUCGGAGAGGUAAGUGGAAUUCCUGGUGUAGUAGUGAAAUGGCGUAGAUAUUAGGAGGAACACCAGUGGCGAAGGCGGCUUACUGGACGGUAACUGACGUUGAGGCUCGAAAGCGUGGGGAGCAAACAGGAUUAGAUACCU
Molecule: ribosomal RNA, 418 nt
Filed under: uncultured Oribacterium sp.
Lineage: Bacteria; Bacillati; Bacillota; Clostridia; Lachnospirales; Lachnospiraceae
Description: bacterial SSU rRNA
Rfam family: Bacterial small subunit ribosomal RNA
Source: RNAcentral